This is a small nucleolar RNA of Gadus morhua (Atlantic cod), 136 nucleotides long. Ensembl annotates it as small nucleolar RNA SNORA9. The record is from Ensembl. Lineage: Eukaryota; Metazoa; Chordata; Actinopteri; Gadiformes; Gadidae.
CCGCAGACCGUUUCCAGCGAGGCCCGGCCUGUCGUGGCCCUGUCCUUUCCUACCGUCUCUGCUAGAGCGACCUGAGGCCGUUUGAGGCCCAGCUGUGUCCUCUGCACAGCAGGGUUAAGAUUAACCUCUGACAAUU